AGUGAACGCUGGCGGUAGGCCUAACACAUGCAAGUCGAACGGCAGCACAGUAAGAGCUUGCUCUUACGGGUGGCGAGUGGCGGACGGGUGAGGAAUACAUCGGAAUCUACUUUUUCGUGGGGGAUAACGUAGGGAAACUUACGCUAAUACCGCAUACGACCUACGGGUGAAAGCAGGGGAUCUUCGGACCUUGCGCGAUUGAAUGAGCCGAUGUCGGAUUAGCUAGUUGGCGGGGUAAAGGCCCACCAAGGCGACGAUCCGUAGCUGGUCUGAGAGGAUGCAGAAGCCACAGGGGAACGGAAACGGGCCCCAGGCCCUGCCGGGAGGCCGGAGGGGGGAAUAGUGGACAAUGGGCGCAAGCCUGACCAAGCCAACCGGGGUGGGGAAAAAGGGCCUCGGGUUUGUAAAGCCCUUUUGUGGGAAAAAAAAAGCAACAGUUUAAUCCCCCGCUGUUCUGACGGACCCAAAAGAAUAAGCCCCGGCUAACUUCGUG
RNAcentral lists this ribosomal RNA (493 nucleotides) under uncultured bacterium. RNAcentral's name for it is "partial 16S ribosomal RNA". It matches the Rfam family "Bacterial small subunit ribosomal RNA", at positions 29 to 507 of the family's 1533-position model. The record is from RNAcentral.